This 651-nucleotide ribosomal RNA is filed under the name Asparagopsis taxiformis. Its description in RNAcentral is "eukaryotic LSU rRNA". It matches the Rfam family "Eukaryotic large subunit ribosomal RNA", at positions 1264 to 1921 of the family's 3401-position model. The record is from RNAcentral. Lineage: Eukaryota; Rhodophyta; Florideophyceae; Bonnemaisoniales; Bonnemaisoniaceae.
GAAUCCGCYAAGGAGUGUGUAACAACUCACCUGCCGAAUGGACUAGCCCUGAAAAUGGAUGGCGCUGAAGCGGGUGGCCGAGACCACACCGUUUGACGAAUUGGCAACUCGUCGAAUGAGUAGGAGGGCGUGGCGGCCGUGGAGAAGCCGGUGGGCAAUCACUGGUGGAACGGCCGCGAGUGCAGAUCUUGGUGGUAGUAGCAAAUAUUCAAGUGAGUGAACAAACCUUGAAGGGUGAAGCGGGGAAGGGUUUUAUGUGAACAUUGAUUGGGCAUAAGUGAGUCGUUCCUAAGCUGCUGGUUUAUUCUCUCGGGAAUUUUUCUGGCGAAAGGGAAGCAGGUUGACAUUCCUGCACACGGAUGUGGAGGCGGUGACGCCGUUUGAGACAAACACGUUGGCGACAGCUCUGGGCAGAGUUAUCUUUUCUGUUUGACGUCAGGGUGCGCUGUGUGGAAUCCGCUUGUCGGGAGAAACACGCGUGCCCGGGCAGAGCGCCGGACUUUUCCGGCGUCCAGAUCGCUGUCGACAGCCCUUGAAACUUUGUCUGCUGAAGUGAACAAUCCACGCCGUGACGUACCGAUAACCGCAUCAGGUCCCCAAGGUGAACAGCCUCUACUCAAUAUGAACAAUGCAGGUAAGGGAAGUCGGCAA